Molecule: ribosomal RNA, 1138 nt
Filed under: human gut metagenome
Description: bacterial SSU rRNA
Rfam family: Bacterial small subunit ribosomal RNA
Source: RNAcentral
AUAUUGGUCAAUGGACGAGAGUCUGAACCAGCCAAGUCGCGUGAGGGAAGACUGCCCUAUGGGUUGUAAACCUCUUUUAUAAGGGAAGAAUAAGUUCUACGUGUAGAAUGAUGCCUGUACCUUAUGAAUAAGCAUCGGCUAACUCCGUGCCAGCAGCCGCGGUAAUACGGAGGAUGCGAGCGUUAUCCGGAUUUAUUGGGUUUAAAGGGUGCGUAGGCGGUUUAUUAAGUUAGUGGUUAAAUAUUUGAGCUAAACUCAAUUGUGCCAUUAAUACUGGUAAACUGGAGUACAGACGAGGUAGGCGGAAUAAGUUAAGUAGCGGUGAAAUGCAUAGAUAUAACUUAGAACUCCGAUAGCGAAGGCAGCUUACCAGACUGUAACUGACGCUGAUGCACGAGAGCGUGGGUAGCGAACAGGAUUAGAUACCCUGGUAGUCCACGCCGUAAACGAUGCUCACUGGUUCUGUGCGAUAUAUUGUACGGGAUUAAGCGAAAGUAUUAAGUGAGCCACCUGGGGAGUACGUCGGCAACGAUGAAACUCAAAGGAAUUGACGGGGGCCCGCACAAGCGGAGGAACAUGUGGUUUAAUUCGAUGAUACGCGAGGAACCUUACCUGGGUUUAAAUGGGAAAUGUCGUAUUUGGAAACAGAUAUUCUCUUCGGAGCGUUUUUCAAGGUGCUGCAUGGUUGUCGUCAGCUCGUGCCGUGAGGUGUCGGGUUAAGUCCCAUAACGAGCGCAACCCUUACCGUUAGUUGCUAGCAUGUAAUGAUGAGCACUCUAACGGGACUGCCACCGUAAGGUGAGAGGAAGGCGGGGAUGACGUCAAAUCAGCACGGCCCUUACACCCAGGGCUACACACGUGUUACAAUGGCCGGUACAGAGGGCCGCUACCAGGUGACUGGAUGCCAAUCUCAAAAGCCGGUCGUAGUUCGGAUUGGAGUCUGUAACCCGACUCCAUGAAGUUGGAUUCGCUAGUAAUCGCGCAUCAGCCAUGGCGCGGUGAAUACGUUCCCGGGCCUUGUACACACCGCCCGUCAAGCCAUGGAAGCCGGGGGUGCCUGAAGUCCGUAACCGCGAGGAUCGGCCUAGGGCAAAACUGGUAACUGGGGCUAAGUCGUAACAAGGUAGCCGUACCGGAA